UCUCCGUAGGUGAACCUGCGGAGGGAUCAUUACUGAGUGAGGGCCCUCGUGGUCCGACCUCCAACCCAUUGUUGUCCGACUCUGUUGCCUCGGGGGCGACCCGGCGCUUCAGCGCCAGGGGGUCCCCGCUGGUCCACACAACUCUGCAUCUUUGCGUCUGAGUAAACAUUAAAUGAAACAAAACUUUCAACAACGGAUCUCUUGGUUCUG
RNAcentral lists this unclassified non-coding RNA (210 nucleotides) under plant metagenome. Its description in RNAcentral is "partial contains small subunit ribosomal RNA, internal transcribed spacer 1, and 5.8S ribosomal RNA". The record is from RNAcentral.